RNAcentral lists this unclassified non-coding RNA (305 nucleotides) under compost metagenome. Its description in RNAcentral is "partial contains 5.8S ribosomal RNA, internal transcribed spacer 2, and large subunit ribosomal RNA". The stretch from base 1 to 105 matches the Rfam family "5.8S ribosomal RNA", at positions 50 to 154 of the family's 154-position model. RNAcentral also lists the same sequence under 1 other name. The record is from RNAcentral.
GAAAUGCGAUAAGUAAUGUGAAUUGCAGAAUUCAGUGAAUCAUCGAAUCUUUGAACGCACAUUGCGCCCGCCAGCAUCCUGGCGGGCAUGCCUGUUCGAGCGUCAUUUCAACCCAUCAAGCCCACGGCUUGUGUUGGGGACCUGCGGCUGCCCGCAGGCCCUGAAAACCAGUGGCGGGCUCGCUAGUCACACCGGGCGUAGUAGCAUACGACCUCGCUCAGGGCGUGCUGCGGGUUCCAGCCGUAAAACGACCUUCACAACCCAAGGUUGACCUCGGAUCAGGUAGGAGGACCCGCUGAACUUAA